AGCAGCCGCGGUAAUUCCAGCUCCAAUAGCGUAUAUUAAAGUUGUUGCAGUUAAAAAGCUCGUAGUUGAAUUUCGGGAUCAAAGAAUCGGUCAUGCCUUGGUAUGUACUGGUUUUAUUGGUUCUCACCUUCUAAAGAACCAUGAUGUCAUUCAUUUGAUGUUAUGGGGAAUUAGGACUGUUACCUUGAAAAAUUAGAGUGUUUAAAGCAAGCUUACGCUUGAAUACAUUAGCAUGGAAUAAUGAAAUAGGACAUCAGAUUCUAUUUUGUUGGUUUCUAGGAUCGAUGUAAUGAUUAAUAGGGAUAGUUGGGGGCAUUAGUAUUCAAUUGUCAGAGGUGAAAUUCUUGGAUUUAUUGAAGACUAACUACUGCGAAAGCAUUUGCCAAGGAUGUUUUCAUUAAUCAAGAACGAAAGUUAGGGGAUCGAAGACGAUCAGAUACCGUCGUAGUCUUAACCAUAAACUAUGCCGACUAGGGAUCGGAUGAUGUAAUUUUUAAUGACUC
RNAcentral lists this ribosomal RNA (503 nucleotides) under uncultured Glomus. RNAcentral describes it as "SSU rRNA". It matches the Rfam family "Eukaryotic small subunit ribosomal RNA", at positions 569 to 1077 of the family's 1831-position model. Lineage: Eukaryota; Fungi; Glomeromycota; Glomeromycetes; Glomerales; Glomeraceae. The record is from RNAcentral.